CUCCCAUUUGAAAGGCAGGGAUGACAAACAACUCACCUUGUUCCCGGUGAAGUCUCGGAGCUGUAGACCAUGUUCUUACUUAGCAGAGGGAUGGUUGUAUGAAAGAAAACAGGGAAAGCAGACAAAAAGAAAAAAGAAGUUGCAGAGGGUCAAAAGGAAGAGUCAGGAAGAAGAAUCCAAUUAUCCAGAGUUUAUUCAGAGAUAUCCAUAUGCAUUUUUUCCUGAUGUUCAUUCUUUACUACAAAUUUAAUUAUAUUCAUAUUAUUUAAUAAUUUAUAUUUAAAAAUGCAAGUAAUUUCUUCUAUGUAGGAAUAAAUGUUCAGAAUAAUGCU
Molecule: non-coding RNA, 332 nt
Organism: Meleagris gallopavo (turkey)
Lineage: Eukaryota; Metazoa; Chordata; Aves; Galliformes; Phasianidae
Source: RefSeq, a predicted model, not a curated record